This 315-nucleotide ribosomal RNA is filed under the name uncultured eukaryote. Its description in RNAcentral is "partial 18S ribosomal RNA". It matches the Rfam family "Eukaryotic small subunit ribosomal RNA", at positions 1470 to 1796 of the family's 1831-position model. The record is from RNAcentral.
CCCUUAGACGUUCUGGGCCGCACGCGCGCUACACUGACCAGUGCAACAAGCAUCCGUCCUUGGCCGACAGGCUCGGGCAACCUUUGAACGCUGGUCGUGAUGGGGAUAGACUUUUGCAAUUUUUGGUCUUCAACGAGGAAUUCCUAGUAAACGCAAGUCAUCAACUUGCAUUGAUUACGUCCCUGCCCUUUGUACACACCGCCCGUCGCACCUACCGAUUGAAUGGUCCGGUGAAGCCUCCGGAUUGGCGCGCACCUCGGUGCCGCCGAGAAGUUGGCUAAACCUUACCAUUUAGAGGAAGGUGAANUCGUANCA